ACGGAAGGCAGCAGUGGGGGAUAUUGGACAAUGGGGGAAACCCUGAUCCAGCGACGCCGCGUGAGUGAAGAAGUAUUUCGGUAUGUAAAGCUCUAUCAGCAGGGACGAAAAAGCGCAAGCAUUGACGGUACCUGACUAAGAAGCCCCGGCUAACUACGUGCCAGCAGCCGCGGUAAUACGUAGGGGGCAAGCGUUGUCCGGAAUGAUUGGGCGUAAAGGGCGCGUAGGCGGCCUGUUAAGUCUGGAGUGAGAGUCCUGCUUUUAAGGUGGGAAUUGCUUUGGAUACUGAUGGGCUUGAGUGCAGGAGAGGUAAGUGGAAUUCCCAGUGUAGCGGUGAAAUGCGUAGAGAUUGGGAGGAACACCAGUGGCGAAGGCGACUUACUGGACUGUAACUGACGCUGAGGCUCGAAAGCGUGGGGAGCAAACAGGAUUAGAUACCCUGGUA
RNAcentral lists this ribosomal RNA (445 nucleotides) under uncultured Clostridium sp. RNAcentral's name for it is "partial 16S ribosomal RNA". It matches the Rfam family "Bacterial small subunit ribosomal RNA", at positions 341 to 792 of the family's 1533-position model. Lineage: Bacteria; Bacillati; Bacillota; Clostridia; Eubacteriales; Clostridiaceae. The record is from RNAcentral.